CCUACGGGUGGCAGCAGUGAGGAAUAUUGGUCAAUGGGCGAAAGUCUGAACCAGCCAAGCCGCGUGAGGGACGACGGUUCUAUGGAUUGUAAACUUCUUUUGUCGGGGAACAAAGGCGCCCACGGGUGGGCGGCUGAGUGUAUCCGAAGAAAAAGCAUCGGCUAACUCCGUGCCAGCAGCCGCGGUAAUACGGAGGAUGCGAGCGUUAUCCGGAUUUAUUGGGUUUAAAGGGUGCGUAGGCGGACAAGCAAGUCAGCGGUAAACAUGCGGUGCUAAACGCCGUACAGCCUCUGAGACUGGUAGUCUUGAGUGGGCGAGAGGUAGGCGGAAUGCGUGGUGUAGCGGUGAAAUGCAGAGAUAUCACGCAGAACUCCGAUUGCGAAGGCAGCAUACCGGCGCACGACUGACGCUGAGGCACGAAAGCGUGGGUAUCGAACAGGAUUAGAUACCCCGGUAGUC
Molecule: ribosomal RNA, 459 nt
Filed under: uncultured bacterium
Lineage: Bacteria
Description: partial 16S ribosomal RNA
Rfam family: Bacterial small subunit ribosomal RNA
Source: RNAcentral